AGUCGAACGGCAGCACGGGAGCAAUCCUGGUGGCGAGUGGCGAACGGGUGAGUAAUAUAUCGGAACGUGCCCAGUCGUGGGGGAUAACGCAGCGAAAGCUGUGCUAAUACCGCAUACGAUCUCUGGAUGAAAGCGGGGGACCUUCGGGCCUCGCGCGAUUGGAGCGGCCGAUAUCAGAUUAGCUAGUUGGUGGGGUAAAAGCUCACCAAGGCGACGAUCUGUAGCUGGUCUGAGAGGACGACCAGCCACACUGGAACUGAGACACGGUCCAGACUCCUACGGGAGGCAGCAGUGGGGAAUUUUGGACAAUGGGCGCAAGCCUGAUCCAGCAAUGCCGCGUGCAGGAUGAAGGCCUUCGGGUUGUAAACUGCUUUUGUACGGAACGAAACGGCUCUUUCUAAUACAGAGGGCUAAUGACGGUACCGUAAGAAUAAGCACCGGCUAACUACGUGCCAGCAGCCGCGGUAAU
This 469-nucleotide ribosomal RNA is filed under the name uncultured bacterium. RNAcentral describes it as "bacterial SSU rRNA". It matches the Rfam family "Bacterial small subunit ribosomal RNA", at positions 60 to 524 of the family's 1533-position model. The record is from RNAcentral.